CACUGUCAAAGCAAACAUGGCAAAGCUACUGUAUACCUGGGCUGAGGCAAAGAAUGUGGGGACCAGGCCAUGUAUAACCCCUGCGAACUGGGCAAGGAGGCACCUUUUAAACGUAGUGAUUCUCUUUAUUUAGCAGGGGGAGAAUAACUGGCUCUAUCCACCCCCAGCACGGAACCUCCAGUGACUGUAGCUGGUGUCUAUCCAAUGUUUCUUUUUAGCUUGUGAGCCUUUUGGGGACAGGGAGCCAUCUUAUUUAUUAUUUCUGUAUGUAAAUAGCUUUGGAAACUUUUGUUGAAUAUCAUACUUCUGCGUGUGCAUGCGGAAGGUAAUUAUUUCAAUGCAUGGGUCAUCCUUGUUGGACUGGAGUGAUGGUUUUUAAUAUUUUGUUAUUUCAGCCAGGAACGGGGAACUACCAUAAAAAUAUUUAUGAAGUCAUCCUACUUGGAAUAUGUGCAUAGGUGAAAGUGGGCAGGAACCAACAGCCACUUUGGAAGCUCCCCCGGCCCUGCCCCGCACCAGCAGAACAGAACAAACGUUCUUUGAAUGGAUUAAAAAAACUUAUUCCAGCAUCCCAAGCUUUCUAAGAUUUCCUUAUUGCAGGUUAAUAAUGGAUUCUGCACAAUAUACUGUAAAAAUCACACAAUAAGCCCACAAUUCUCACAAUGCUUUUUCAUUCCAUAUUAAUAAUAUGCUGGAGCUAUGAAUCUGGCUACAUCAAUGGAAACUUUAUUACUGAAAAAGAGAAUCAUGAUCUCUUUGUAAGUUUGUUUGCUUGUGAAUUACAAUGUGAGGGUUUCUGGAUUUCAUUAGUUUUGUUUAAUAAACAAACAGGAAUGUUCCAGCAAUUUUGUUUUGUUGAACGCUUUUGGUCAAAAACAAACGCUACAAGAAACAAACACACUGGUAUGUGUUUUUGAUACAUUUGUAUGUAUCAAAAAAGUUCACUACAAAGAGAAAUAAAAUAGAGAAGAUUUACAUAUUGUUAUGGCCCAGGCCACUCAUAUUGGACCAGAACUCAUAGCCUAGCGGGCCAGGCUGAGGCCUGUGUGUCUUUGUCAGCAAUUCCAUUGAGAGAAACACUGAUGCAAGGCCUCACUCAACUCUGAGUGAAAUGAUUAACUCCUAGGAAACAAGCUGGAAACUAAUCCCUUACUUCCUAUGACAGAAUGCUUAUGUUGAUGUCACCUAUAUUGUUCUUCCUUAGUCAAAUGUGUUAACUAGCCUCAAACAUGUAUCCCUUGGCUGUUACUUUAAACAUUCUUUUUUUAGAAUUACACAUUAAGUAGAUGUACACAAGAAGUAAUUUAAUUGCUGUCUCACACAUAUAGCUUAGUUUCUUCCUUCUUAAACAACCUCUUUUGAACUUUUAACACUCUUUGAAGCAAGAGGAGCUAGGAGCCUGCCUCUUAGGCAAAGACAGACCAACAACUUAAGAAAUGCAGAUGUUUGGGAGAACAAAACAAGCAAAUUGCUUCUGACAACAAAAAGACAGUAUGUAGAGGAUGCUGCUCUGAACUGCUCUAACAAAGAAACAGCUUUUGUCAUGAGAGGGAAGUUUUAUGAUAAGAGUGACUGACACUUUCCAUGGACAGAGACUGUCUGUGACCUCUGCUGCACAGUAAGAAGUCAGGACUACCCAGCCAUGGUGUUCUCUCUCUGCCUUGCUCUGAGCAUCUACCACCAGCCUGCCUGACUGCUUGAAGCCUGCAUUGCUCCCAAGCCCCAACAAUGAACAAGUCCUUUGAAGCCUUCUCCGUGAACCUGGUGAGAUGCCUAUACAGCUAACAGCUCAGCCUUCUCCCCACUUCCCUUCUCCCUACUAAUCUCUCCCAUCCCUUUCCUAAGCCCUCCCUUCUUUCUUCUCUGUUUUUCUCUAAAUGUUUUAUUAGGAGUUGUUAGACAGCUGUAAUUAUUGAUUGCACACACAUGUGAUAGCUAGGCACAUUGCACUACACCUUGAACUGGAAACGUGUUUAAUUUGGAUGACCUGUUUGAAUUUUAUCCUGAUGAGCAACUCUCUAUAAUAAAGCCCAUUGAACUUUC
Molecule: long non-coding RNA, 2043 nt
Organism: Hemicordylus capensis (graceful crag lizard)
Lineage: Eukaryota; Metazoa; Chordata; Lepidosauria; Squamata; Cordylidae
Exons: 2
Source: RefSeq, a predicted model, not a curated record